CCCCCCCCCCCGGCAAAGACUGUCGCCUGGACCAUUCGCAGGUCAACUCACCCUGCCGCCCAUUGAAUCAUGGUCGCAUGUCCGUCUCUCUGGCUGCCCGCUGGAUCGCAUCUGAGUCAACACCACUACCUCCUGCCACCGCAUGUGAUCCUCCUGGCCGGCAGCUGCCCUGUUCCCACAUGUUUAUGUGCUUGCUACUGUUGUGCUACUACGUUCGCUCCUGCCGCUAGUUGCUGCCUUUCUGCCACGUACUAGCUUCUGCCUGCUACUACGUGUUGUUGUUAGUCAACCCAUGGAUGAUGGAUCUAGUUCCGCCGUCUGGCUGCCUGAUUUGUUUUUUGCGUCUUGGUUCACAGCUUGAUCUCGUAAAAAAACUUCAUGUUUCUUCCGCUGCAACCACUGCUAGAUUUUCUAUCCAUCGCCUAGUAUGUGUUUUCUAGUUUUAUAUAAUUUCCGUUGUGUCCAUCAAAUCCGUCAAUAUUAUGUGUUUCUCAUGCCAUGCGAGUCCACAUACCAUUGUCCGGCAGCCUUUCUUCGGUUCUUAUCCUUUCUAUACAACUUGUGUGGCCUAUUUGCCCUUGUUGUUUCUUAUAGGAUUUUCUGGACUUCUUUUGCAUUGUCGAUCUACAUUCAUCGUGCCUUAACCGUCGAUCUUCUUUCGCCGUCGGUUGUCGUGGACUAUGAUUUUCUAUGCAAUGCCUUAUUCUCUUGAUGUGCCAUCUUCUUCGACAACCCAUCUUCUCUUGAUACUUAUCUUGUAUCUUCUAUUGGUGCGGUGUCUUCCUCUGAUAUGCCAUCUCUUCGUUAUUCCCUUUGGCGACUCGACAGGUUUUGAAGACUCCUCAUGCUACGACGACUCUCUAAAGACGUGGAUUUGGAUUGUCAAUUUUUUUUUACACUUCUUCAAAUGCAAUGCUAUUGCAUACGCUUUGCAUUUGAGGGGGGUGUUAAGGAGUAUUAGUANN
Molecule: long non-coding RNA, 965 nt
Filed under: Hordeum vulgare
Lineage: Eukaryota; Viridiplantae; Streptophyta; Magnoliopsida; Poales; Poaceae
Description: long non-coding RNA (HVUL_LNC001419)
Source: RNAcentral